This 292-nucleotide ribosomal RNA is filed under the name uncultured bacterium. RNAcentral describes it as "partial 16S ribosomal RNA". It matches the Rfam family "Bacterial small subunit ribosomal RNA", at positions 505 to 796 of the family's 1533-position model. The record is from RNAcentral.
GUGCCAGCCGCCGCGGUAAGACGUGGGGUGCAAGCGUUGUCCGGAGUGACUGGGCGUAAAGGGCGUGUAGGCGGCCUGAUAAGUCUUGGUUGAAAGCCCACGGCUCAACCGUGGAUUCGGCAAAGAUACUGUGAGGCUAGACGGCGAGAGGGGCAGACAGAAUUCCCGGUGAAGGAGUAAAAUCCGUUGAUAUCGGGAGGAAUACCAGUGGCGAAGGCGGUCUGCUAGCUCGCUCGUAACGCUGAGGCGCGACAGUCUGGGUAGCGAAAGGGAUUAGAUACCCCCGUAGUCC